UCUCUUAACCCUAUUUUUUUUCAUCUAAUUAUUGAUAUAGUUUUGCUCUUACUUGUUGUUAAGUGCAUGUAUAGGCUUAGAUUUUAUUUUUUAUUUUUAAAUGAUUUUUUAAAAUACUAGUAUUGUGUUUCUUUGUUGAGUUAUAUCAUUCAUGGACUAAUAUUGUACUUUUAUGUAAUAAUUUUUUUUAAAAAAAUCACUUACAAUCGUAAGAGGUGUUUUCUGAGAUUAAAGGUGAUUGAAGAGAUGAAAAGAUUAUAAUGGAGAUUUAUAUAGAAUAUAAGACUUAUAAAAAGUCUUAUAAGUAAAGUUGAAAGUGAUUUAAGAGUGAAUUCAUUAGUUUACUUAUAAAGAAGAUAUUUUGGGUUUCUAAAGCAACAUCUUUUUAUUGAAUCUUUUGCAUCAAGCAUAAAAGAAGAGAGUAAAUUACUUAUGAAUAAUGAAAUAUAGGAAUUUACUCAACUUCCACCAAAUUAAUCUUUAAUUUAUUAUACAUGGGUAUUUAGAACCGAAAAGAAUAUAAUAGAUAAUGUUAUAAGGUAUAAGACUAGAUUGGUUGCUAAAGAGUAUUUAUAAAUUUUUAGUACUGAUUU
Molecule: long non-coding RNA, 593 nt
Filed under: Physcomitrium patens
Lineage: Eukaryota; Viridiplantae; Streptophyta; Bryopsida; Funariales; Funariaceae
Description: long non-coding RNA (PPAT_LNC007884)
Source: RNAcentral